GAAUAUUAGUCAUGCUCGAAAGAGUGAACUAGCUAGCUGAAAUCCUAGGCAUUUCUCAUGGAAUAAAUAGGAUAAGGAAGUGAAAAAAAUGAUAUUAAACAAAAGUUAUUGUUCUUUAGAAGUGAGGAUUUAAUCCAAUCCAAUAAAUUAUAAUAACUGUGCCUUAUAGUGCUGUCCAACACUCGUGCCAGAAGACUCGGUAAUGCGAGUAGCACAAACGUUAAUCGUCUUAUGCAGGCGUAAAGGGUUUGUAGGCGGUUUUGAACCACUUAACUUAUGUUUAAUUACAAAACAGUUAUUGUUUAGUAGAUUCUAGAAUCAGACCGAGGAUAAUCAGAAGAAUACUUAAUUUAGGGCCUAUAUCCAGUGAGAUUAAGGGGAAUACUAAGGAGUGUAGACUUUUGUCCAUUAAUGAUUGACGCUGAGAAACGAAGGUAGGAACAGGGAUAAGGAUUAGAUACCCAAGUACCUCCUACUGUCAACGAUGUAUGGUGGCUGUUAGCCUAAUGGCUGGUGGCGAUGUUAACGCGAUUACCAUACCGCCUUGUGAGUACGGUCGCAAGACUGAAAUCAAAAAAAUUAGUCGGUUCCAGAGCAAACGAAGUGAAGCAUGUUAUUUAAUUCG
RNAcentral lists this ribosomal RNA (625 nucleotides) under Lachnella villosa. RNAcentral's name for it is "SSU rRNA". It matches the Rfam family "Bacterial small subunit ribosomal RNA", at positions 359 to 953 of the family's 1533-position model. The record is from RNAcentral. Lineage: Eukaryota; Fungi; Basidiomycota; Agaricomycetes; Agaricales; Niaceae.